This 374-nucleotide ribosomal RNA is filed under the name uncultured organism. Its description in RNAcentral is "partial 16S ribosomal RNA". It matches the Rfam family "Bacterial small subunit ribosomal RNA", at positions 527 to 896 of the family's 1533-position model. The record is from RNAcentral.
GUAGGUGGCAAGCGUUGUCCGGAAUUAUUGGGCGUAAAGCGCGCGCAGGCGGUUCUUCAAGUCUGAUGUGAAAGCCCACGGCUCAACCGUGGAGGGUCAUUGGAAACUGGAGAACUUGAGUACAGAAGAGGAAAGCGGAAUUCCACGUGUAGCGGUGAAAUGCGUAGAGAUGUGGAGGAACACCAGUGGCGAAGGCGGCUUUCUGGUCUGUAACUGACGCUGAGGCGCGAAAGCGUGGGGAGCAAACAGGAUUAGAUACCCUGGUAGUCCACGCCGUAAACGAUGAGUGCUAAGUGUUAGGGGGGUUUCCGCCCCCCUUAGUGCUGCAGCUAACGCAUUAAGCACUCCGCCCUGGGAGUACGGCCGCAAGGCUG